Molecule: long non-coding RNA, 646 nt
Filed under: Elaeis guineensis (African oil palm)
Lineage: Eukaryota; Viridiplantae; Streptophyta; Magnoliopsida; Arecales; Arecaceae
Description: long non-coding RNA (EGUI_LNC017877)
Source: RNAcentral
ACUAGGCCCACCAAGCUCAUUUCAACCUCCUCUACAGUCUAUUGUCUCUUGUUAGGCAUCUACUCUUCCAGUUUCGCCCCUAAGAUGCCUUUUCUACUACUCUCUAUCUAAUUUUUAUCUCAUCAAUAUCAGACUAAUGACAAUCCCUUCACAGAAAAUUCUUUCCUUGGACAAACGGCCAACUAUCUCUCCAAUACCGGUGGCUGUUUAAUUUUAAAACAUAACAUAGUGCCUUAACUGUCUAGCCAUAUAUAACCAACCUUCUCAACAUUUUAAUAUUUAAAAUUAAAGUGAGCAAUAGGGCCAAGUGCUGAGACAGUUCCUUAUAUUAACACAAGUGAGUUUAAAUUAGGUAAUAAUUCAUUUAUUUAUAUCAAAGAAAAUAAGCUUAGGCUAGUUGAAUUUUAAAUUUGGUCAUAAAUAAUUUCCAUUGUACCUAGGCAUUCUGAGGGACUUUAUUGAAUUAAUCAAAUACUCGUGCUUGAAUUUUCCAUGGAGGUUUUAACUAUUAUCUAAGUACUCUCCAUCACAAAAAACAAAGAGAUCUUUAAUCUCUUUGUUUCAUGAUAGAUGUACUUCACAUUAGUGGUUGCAAUGGGUUGGGCUGGAUCAGAUCAAGUUAGGAAAACAACUUAUGGAAUUUGGC